Molecule: ribosomal RNA, 387 nt
Filed under: uncultured bacterium
Lineage: Bacteria
Description: bacterial SSU rRNA
Rfam family: Bacterial small subunit ribosomal RNA
Source: RNAcentral
GACGAACGCUGGCGGCGUGCUUAACACAUGCAAGUCGAGCGGUAAGGCCCUUUCGGGGGUACACGAGCGGCGAACGGGUGAGUAACACGUGGGUGACCUGCCCUCAGCUCUGGGAUAAGCCUGGGAAACCGGGUCUAAUACUGGAUAUGACUCCAUGACGCAUGUUGUGGGGUGGAAAGCCUUGUGCGGCUGAGGAUGGGCCCGCGGCCUAUCAGCUUGUUGUGGGGUGAUGGCCUACCAAGGCGACGACGGGUAGCCGGCCUGAGAGGGCGACCGGCCACACUGGGACUGAGACACGGCCCAGACUCCUACGGGAGGCAGCAGUGGGGAAUCUUGCGCAAUGGGCGAAAGCCUGACGCAGCGACGCCGCGUGAGGGAUGACGGCCU